Long non-coding RNA from Lethenteron reissneri (Far Eastern brook lamprey), 350 nucleotides. RefSeq lists it as uncharacterized. The record is from RefSeq and is a predicted model, not a curated record. Lineage: Eukaryota; Metazoa; Chordata; Hyperoartia; Petromyzontiformes; Petromyzontidae.
GCUGCUCACCACGGACGCAACAACGAUGACGACAAACGAUCGGAAAGGGUGACAGGCUCGAGGUGUCUUUGAAUACAUCGGUUAAUCGCGGACAGCCAAAACCGAGAAUCGAACCCUGGAUUUUAACAGUGCCAGCUCAGCCCUCCGACGCCUGGGCCAUCCAGCCAGCUUGCGACAGACCUACGACUACCGACGUACUUGCCAGAGCUUGCGGCGCCGCCCAUGGACGGGAACUCCUCCAGGCUGCACAGAGAGGCGUCCGCUCUUUGGCACGGGGACGACUGAAAGCAUCUUCCCAGCGCCCCUGCCGCCGACCCAUUCUCUCUGGCUUUCCCGCAGGCGGGGCUGCU